UUAUCUCCUCUUUGUAUAUUUAUAUGUAUUUACAAUAUAUCUACAUCAGUCAACACUUAGCUACAACAACAACAACCACUACAACAACAACACCUCGACAGACAGGGUGUUGGAUACAGUGGGAUGGGAGUCGAACCCCUGCUUCUUUUUACGGUGGCGACAACACUUUGCCAGGCAGCCACAAGGCCACCUGCUACGGGAGCGCUAAUCAGUACAAUUGUUUACCUGUGGCCGACGAGACCCACGUGAGGACAGCGAGUAUUAAAAUCUUUAGGCGCCUACGGACAGCACUGCUCUGGCUGGCUAUUGUCUAACGCACAUACGCACACAUGUAGGCGUAUGCACUUACAAAAUACUUUCUCUUACGCACACACACACUCACACGCACACUCCAACAUAUGCGACAACAACAAUAAAAACAGUUUAAAUUCUCUUACAAUAUCAACAGUCUACAUGAAACACUUACUUAAGAACAGUCACGCCCCGACGUACGUACACCAAUACACUAGAACACGGCUGCACACGCCCUAGAUACGAACAGAGAUCACCCACGCACAGGACUGGACCAACGGAAUACCAUCACUUGUAGGGGGAUAGACUCUGUCACUUGUCAUCUUCGCUAAACUAACGCUAAAGACAAACAAAGGAAAUACCAACACUUUAUGGGAAUAGUCUUUGCUAAACUAAUGAUUUAAAUAAACGAUUAUUACCCAUACACAGGACUGGGUCAACGAAAUACCAUCACUUGUAGGGGAAUAAUCUUCGCUAAACUAACGCUAAAGACAAACAAAGGAAAUACCAACACCUUAUGGGAAUAGUCUUUGCUAAACUAAUGAUAAAUAAACGAUUCUCACCCAUACAUAGGACUGGGCCAACGAAAUACCAUCACUUGUAUAUAGGAGGAAUAGGCUCGGUCAUUUUAAACUUUGCUAAACUAACGCUAAAGACAAAGAAACAGAAUACCAACACUUAAAGGGAAUAGACUUUGCCAUUAAUUUGAACUUCGCUAAACUAAUUACCCGAAACGAUCUUAACCCAUAAAUAUGACGAUCAACGAAAUAUCAUAGACUCUGUCACGUCUAAACUUCGCUAAACUAACGCUAAGGACAAACAAAAGAAAUACCAACACCUGUAAGAGGAAUAGACUUUGUCACUAACAUAACCUUCGCUAAACUAUAUUGAUAAGGAAUCCAUUAUCACCUUUAAACAAAUAUAGCAUCCCUUUGAAGAGGAUAAACUUCUUUUCAUUCCCAUAAACUUCACCAAACUUCCUGUAAAGAAACGAUUCUCACAUUUAAAUAUGACUAGAAAGUAAAUAUCGUCAAUUACAGGAAGGAUAAUAGAUUUCUUCACUAACACAACCUUACUUAAAACAAGCGACGAACGAACAACCGAGAGAGUACACAACGUAGCAAAGUCACACUUCGUUAACUUGAAAUCAGAGCUGCAGAGGACCCCAGUAAUCACAGUAAUAAUAAUAAGGUCUAUAAAUUAUAAUACCAUAACAAACUCUUCCCGGGACACACGGCUACGGGGUUCAUAAAAGUCUUCGUAAGUCCGACCGACCAACGCUACGUAACUAAAUGCAUCUAGGUCAGCAUCACCUCGUCUAUGUACUCUUUGCUAGACUACCCGCGGCGCCGUACGCAACGCAGCGGCUCAAAGACUACAAAACCAGCAAUUUCAGUGAACCUGCGAAUACCUAAUGACUUUUGGGAGCAGGUGGAACGUUUAAUCCAAGUCUGAACCUGCUAAUAAUGACUUUGAGACCAGGUGUAACGUAUAAUCCAAGUCAUAACCUGCUAAUAAUGACUUUGAGACCAGGUGUAACGUAUAAUCCAAGUCAUAACCUGCUAAUAAUGACUUUGAGACCAGGUGUAACGUCUAAUCCAAGUCAUAACCUGCUAAUAAUGACUUUGAGACCAGGUGUAACGUUUAAUCCAAGUCAUAACCUGCUAAUAAUGACUUUGAGACCAGGUGUAACGUUUAAUCCAAGUCAUAACCUGCUAAUAAUGACUUUGAGACCAGGUGUAACGUUUAAUCCAAGUCAUAACCUGCUAAUAAUGACUUUGAGACCAGGUGUAACGUUUAAUCCAAGUCAUAACCUGCUAAUAAUGACUUUGAGACCAGGUGUAACGUUUAAUCCAAGUCAUAACCUGCUAAUAAUGACUUUGAGACCAGGUGUAACGUAUAAUCCAAGUCAUAACCUGCUAAUAAUGACUUUGAGACCAGGUGUAACGUUUAAUCCAAGUCAUAACCUGCUAAUAAUGACUUUGAGACCAGGUGUAACGUUUAAUCCAAGUCAUAACCUGCGAAUAAUGACUUUGAGACCAGGUGUAACGUAUAGUCCAAAUCAUAACCUGCUAAUAAUGACUUUGAGACCAGGUGUAACGUAUAAUCCAAGUCAUAACCUGCUAAUAAUGACUUUGAGAUCAGGUGUAAC
This is a long non-coding RNA of Eriocheir sinensis (Chinese mitten crab), 2443 nucleotides long. RefSeq lists it as uncharacterized. NCBI's taxonomy places the organism in Eukaryota, Metazoa, Arthropoda, Malacostraca, Decapoda, Varunidae. The transcript is spliced from 3 exons. The record is from RefSeq and is a predicted model, not a curated record.